GCGGAUGUGGUAUAUUGGCUGUGCCUUUGGCUUCCACCCAAAAGAUGAGGAUUCGAUUUCCUCCAUCCGCUCCA
Molecule: transfer RNA, 74 nt
Filed under: Saprospiraceae bacterium
Lineage: Bacteria; Pseudomonadati; Bacteroidota; Saprospiria; Saprospirales; Saprospiraceae
Description: tRNA-Gly
Rfam family: tRNA
About the family: Transfer RNA (tRNA) molecules are approximately 80 nucleotides in length. Their secondary structure includes four short double-helical elements and three loops (D, anti-codon, and T loops). Further hydrogen bonds mediate the characteristic L-shaped molecular structure. tRNAs have two regions of fundamental functional importance: the anti-codon, which is responsible for specific mRNA codon recognition, and the 3' end, to which the tRNAs corresponding amino acid is attached (by aminoacyl-tRNA synthetases). tRNAs cope with the degeneracy of the genetic code in two manners: having more than one tRNA (with a specific anti-codon) for a particular amino acid; and 'wobble' base-pairing, i.e. permitting non-standard base-pairing at the 3rd anti-codon position.
Source: RNAcentral